UACUACUUCAAUAAGCAAGAAGUCUGGGUCAGCUCUCUCUUCUUGCUCCUUGAGAACUCUUGAAAAGCUGAAAUUGCCAUGGAGUCAGCGCUUCCAAACCCCCUCCACGCUCUCAAAGUUGAGAUGACAGUCUUGGAAGAGUGAAAGGCGGUGUGCUUGACAGGCACGAAACAACGCUAUUUCCUCCCCACGAAAUCACCGAAGCCAAGUGUCCGCCGCCGUAGCCGCCGCCCCGCGCCCUCCUUCCAAGAGAUAAGUGACAUCUAUGGCUGUUGGAAGAUCACAGAGGGAGAGAGAGUGGGAAUUAGGAGCUUGGAGAGAAACAGCUGACACACACAAGGUGUUAUAUCAAAGAAACAGCAAAGGUAAAGAAAUCAGGACCCCUCCCCCUCCCCCACAUCGCUCUCACCGAGAAGUCUCUUUUGGGCGUGAGCCGCUUGGGGAAAUGGUUGAAGGCAUAUGGCUUGGUGCAGACUGGGUAGCGGUUACGGUGGAUCUUGUAGAACAGUAUGUGUAGAGAUCGAGGACACAGCAGGUUCCCACCACCGCCUCCAGGGGGAUGAUCUCGUACAGCGGCAUGCGGAACAACUCGUUCUGGUAAAACCGUCGCGAUGGUGAAUGAUGCGUCUCAUGAGGACGGAAGUAGUG
Long non-coding RNA from Lates calcarifer (barramundi perch), 648 nucleotides. RefSeq lists it as uncharacterized. The record is from RefSeq and is a predicted model, not a curated record. Lineage: Eukaryota; Metazoa; Chordata; Actinopteri; Centropomidae. The transcript is spliced from 4 exons.